Antechinus flavipes (yellow-footed antechinus) is the source of this 4100-nucleotide long non-coding RNA. RefSeq lists it as uncharacterized. The transcript is spliced from 3 exons. The record is from RefSeq and is a predicted model, not a curated record. Lineage: Eukaryota; Metazoa; Chordata; Mammalia; Dasyuromorphia; Dasyuridae.
GGAGGGGGAGGAAAUCUAGGGAAGCCCUGCCAACUGAAAGCUGUACUGCUUUGGGAAAAAGGAAGGCGUGUUCAGUGGAAACACAGGCUGGGUUCUGAUGUGAAAACUUCUCUUCCCUCUCCCUUUCCCUUGGUAUCCCUGAAACUUCAUGAAGCAGCCCAAGCUAAGGGGAAAAGUGAAAAAUUGAGGUUAAAAUGGAGACUGUAGAGAGAAAAGAAAGGGAGAGGGGAAUAAAACAAAGGAGAAAGAAGGAGGAAUGAUGGAGAUGAAGAAAAAUACAUGAGAGAUUAGAGGGGGGACAAAUAAAAGGAAGGAAUAGGAAAAAGGAGAGAAGGUAGGGAAAAAUAAAGAAGGGAAUGAGGAAGAUAAAGGAAAGGGAAGGAGGGAAUUGGGAGAGAACAAAUAAAGGAAAAGAGGAAAAAGAAAGGAGAGAAUGUUAGGAAAAAUAAAGAGCAAUGAGGAAAAUGAAGAAAAAGGAAAAGAGAAAAUGAAAGAGAUGAAGGAGAGGGAAGAAGAGCAAGGAGAGGGGAAUAUUAAUGACAAGAUAAAAAAUGGAAAGGACAAAAAGAAGGAGAUGAGUGAAGCAAAGAAAGGAAGGGAUAAGGAAUAGAAAAGAAGAGAAAGAAGAGAUGGGAAGGGAAGAAUGAACAGAAAAAAGCAAAACGAGGGAAGGAAUGAGUGAAUACAUCAGAGUGGAAAGAGGGAGGGAGGGCGACUGAGGGAAUGGAGAGCAGGGAGGGCCUGAGAGUGGGCUCACCGCCCGCCAGCCCGUCCGCCCCUCCCAGUCCCACCCUCUCCCUCCCUUCCUCUUUCCCUAGCCGGGAUACCCGGAGCUCUCCGUUAAGGCGGGAGGCUCAGCAACCUUCUCCCACCGGGGAGGCCAGAGCCGGGCCAUGGGCAGCGGGAGCAGCAGGAGCAGGCGGGCGCGGAGACAGCUGCAUAGCCCUAACAAGAACCCAGGGGUCCCUGGUGUCCAGAAGCUGGGCGAUGGGCAGCGGGACACUGAGGCCUGCCAGGAGGAGGAGGACGGGAAGGAUGGGCAGCAGGAAGGCUCAAGAAAAGGGGCCCACGGGGAUUGCGCUGUCCAAGACUAUGAGUCGCCCCAAAAUGGAAAUGAGAAGGAACCGGAGUCAGAGUCACUGCUGCUGGACCAGGUACUGGCCGAGUCGGAGGCCUGGACCCAACAUUCGAACCCUGGCCGAGUCGGGCCUCCCACUCUCGGCCGGGACCGAACUCACACCUGGGUGGGGCUCCCCCCUCUCAGUCGAAACUCAGCUGCGGUGGCGAGCGCAAGGUAUCUCCAGUUCAAAGCACCCAAGAUAUAGAGAAUAAUAACAACUUUGAGACUUCCACCAGGAGCAGCAAGAGGCCUGAAAGACAAACUCCCAUCUUGUAUGACUGCUCAGAAGAGGAGUUGAUGGCGAGCAUUGAGCGGGAAUAUGGCCGCUGAGGGUUAGCAUGAACCAGGGAAGACACUUGGCUUUGGAUGACAGCCCCUGAGCAGUGAAAAAAACACAUCCUCCAUGGAGAAGGGAGACAAUGUCAAUUUCUGUCUCUGCUCCUCAUCAAUCAGAAGCUUGAACAAUACAUCGGUCAAGUUACUAAGAGCAUCCUCUCUCUAGCAAGCAAUAGAUCAGUGCCGAGGAAGGUGUAGAGUCUUUCUACAAGACAACCACCAUUUAUUUGUAGAUCUGUAGACUAUAAUGCCUAGAAGGGAACUUGGAGAUCAUCUGGUCCAACAUUUGUAUUUUGCAGAUAAGGAAGCUGAGUUCCAGAGAUGUAAAGAUCACACAAGGUGCUAAUUGGCUGAGUUAAAACUUGAAAUUGGAUCUCUUGACUAUUCAGCCAGUAUUCAUUCUACUGUACUAUCCUACCUUCCCUUUAAUAGCUGGCUUUUUAAAAUGUGAUCUUUCAGAAGUCAGUCCCAAAGGAUAGUCUUUCGGCAUGGUGAGCCAUCCUGCAUUGUAGUCUGCAGUAUCUGGUCAAGGACUGCAGUGAGAAUCAUUCUUACAUGAUACAGUGGAAAGAGCACCAUCUCUGGGGAAUAAGAGGACUUGAAUUCAAAUUUCAGCUCAUAUUUAGUAGCAUGUGACCUUGGACAAGUAACUUAUUGUUCAGUCAUUUUCAGGCAUGUCCAACUCUUUUGAUUCCAUUUGUGAUUUACUUGACAAAGUACUGGAAUAGUUUGCUAUUUCCUUCUCCAACCUUUUUUACAGAUGGGGAAAUUGAAGCAAACAGGGUUAAGUGACUUGGCCAGGCUCAUACAACUGGUAAGUGUCUGAAGCUGGAUUUAAACUCAGGUUUUCCUGACUCGGAGACCAGCAUUCUAUCCAUUGCUAUCUCAGGAGAAUUUAGUAUCUCUGUAAAAUGAGGGGGUUGAAGUGAUUGGUCUCUAAAAUCUCCACCAGCUCUAAGCUAUGGUCUGUAAUGGUGUACUCUGAAUAUUUGGCAUAGUGAAGGGAAACUAGAGUACUCUAUAAGUAACUUGUUCCUUUGUCCAUUCUUUUAAGAAGGGGGGACAUUAUUUUAAGAAAGGGACUGUGGCUGUUUGGAGACUAUGUGACUCUUCUUGGGGGCCUAUGAAAUGAAUAAUUUGGACUGGUUCCUUCUACCACAGAUAUUCCUGUGAAUCUAAAUAUUUCUCUCAUGUCUGAAACAUAUCCCUGGUUAUGAAACACAUAAAGACUGAGAGGCAACUCAAUGCUAUUUAAUUUAAAAGUAGAGGAUUUCAACUCUCUCCUUAUUCCCAAUUAGACCUUGGGUAAGACACUCCCCUUUUCUCAGCCUCUGUUUCCCCAUCUGUAAAAUGAGGAUAAUAAUGUGAUCACCGAUUCCUGCCUACCCCCACAAAGUCAUUAUGAGAAAGUGCUUUGUGAACUUUAAAGGAAUAUGUAAAUGUUAAUUAUUUAUUAUUAGUCCCAUCAUCCAAAUUGCUACUUAUUGUCAGAGAUGAGGUGAGGAGUGUGAAUUCUAAAUUCUAAUUGAAAUGAAUUUGUGCUUUAAGACAUUACAACAUAAACUGUCCAUUGUGUCUGAAAUACAGUUGUCACAUUGUAUACUACAAGGGAGGAUGAAUUCCAACAACACUUUAUUCUAAGAAACUCUGUUACCAAAUGUAGAGAUAAGGUAGAAGAUAUUUAUGUGAGUUUUGAAGCUAAGUGGAUUCCUUCCCCUCUGAGUUGCUGUCCAGCUCUCAGGAUCACAUGUCCCUGAGUCUCAGAGCUGGAAUGGACCUAAACAGCCAUUGAGGUCUACUCAUACUUGGGGGGGAAAAAAUGUCCACCACAGCAUAUCUGAUAUAGGACAGUUUUUGAAGACUCCAGUGCUGGGAAGUCCACCAUUUCUCCUUGGAAAAACUCUAAUCCUAGGAAGUUGGGGCAUUUCCCCCUGGUAUCAAGGCAAAAUUUACUUCCUUGCAAAUUCUAUUCAUCCCUCCUGGUUCUAGCCUCUGAGAGGGCCAAGUAGAACAGGAAAGUCUUUCAAAUACUUCAAAGACACCACAUUUGUACACACACACACACACACACACACACACACACACAACUUUUUCUCUUCAGCUUUUUCUUCUCCAAGAUUAACUUUCCCAGUUCUUUUAAUGGAUCCUUAUAUGCAUGAAUUUGAGGUCCUUCACUACUCAGACUGUCUUCCUUUGGAUAUCCUCCAAUUUAUUUUCAAUUCCUUUUCUAAAUGAUGGCAUCCAAAACUGAAUACAAUAUUUCUAGCUAUUGUCUGAUUUUUUAUUCUCCCUCUCUAGAUGAGGCAAGAUAUGGCUUCCUGAUCCCCUUCAGCCUUAUAGGAGGGUAUUCUCCUGCUUUUUUUGGAGAUUAUUCCAAACUCAGUGAAAUUGAAAUUGUCUACAUCAAUAAACCAAAUUGAUGUCCCAUGGUAACUAGAGGUGCUGACUACAUAAGAUAGAGUCUCUGCCUUCCUUUGCCCAGCCACAGCUACAUCUAAGGUCAUAGAUUUUGGAAUUGGAAGAGAUUUAAGAGAACAUCUAAUUUAAGGCUUCCUAACUUGUUUUGUGCCAUGGACCUCUUUGGCAAUCUGUGGAAACCUAUGAAACCCUUCUCAGAACAUAUAUAUAUAUAUUCACAUAUAUA